UCGGAGACAGGUGCUGCAUGGCUGUCGUCAGCUCGUGUCGUGAGAUGUUGGGUUAAGUCCCGCAACGAGCGCAACCCUUGUCCUUAGUUGCCAUCAUUUAGUUGGGCACUCUAAGGAGACUGCCGGUGUUAAACCGGAGGAAGGUGGGGAUGACGUCAAGUCCUCAUGGCCCUUAUGUCCAGGGCUACACACGUGCUACAAUGGCCGGUACAAAGGGCAGCAAAGCCGCGAGGUGGAGCCAAUCCCAGAAAGCCGGUCUCAGUUCGGAUUGGAGUCUGCAACUCGACUGCGUGAAGUCGGAAUCGCUAGUAAUCGUGGAUCAGCAUGUCACGGUGAAUACGUUCCCGGGUCUU
Molecule: ribosomal RNA, 353 nt
Filed under: uncultured Desulfuromonas sp.
Lineage: Bacteria; Pseudomonadati; Thermodesulfobacteriota; Desulfuromonadia; Desulfuromonadales; Desulfuromonadaceae
Description: bacterial SSU rRNA
Rfam family: Bacterial small subunit ribosomal RNA
Source: RNAcentral